RNAcentral lists this unclassified non-coding RNA (24 nucleotides) under Mus musculus (house mouse). RNAcentral's name for it is "oocyte_clustered_small_RNA12247". Lineage: Eukaryota; Metazoa; Chordata; Mammalia; Rodentia; Muridae. The record is from RNAcentral.
GCGGGUGCUCUGCGGUGCUGUGUG